RNAcentral lists this long non-coding RNA (1276 nucleotides) under Parus major (Great Tit). RNAcentral's name for it is "lncRNA (ENSPMJG00000001864.1)". The record is from RNAcentral. Lineage: Eukaryota; Metazoa; Chordata; Aves; Passeriformes; Paridae.
GAGGAGGAGGAGGAGGAGGAGGAGGAGGAGGAUGAAGAUGAGGAAGGGGGGAAAGUUUGGGAGAACAUUCCCGGUUUUUGCUCCAGGAGCAGCGGGGAGGGCGUGGAUUGGUGGGGUUGGAAUCGCUCCGUCAGCGCUUCCAGGCCGCCGCCCUGCCGGGAAAAAAGUGGGAAUGAGAUCCCGGAAUUGCACGGGAAUCCCGGCCCCAAAUCCCAAAUACCUGAGGCUCCAAAAGCCCCUGAAAUUCCCAAAAUGUCUUUGGAUCCCAUCCCAAAAAAUCUCCAAAAUCCCAACCCCAAAUCCCUUUGAAAUCCCAAAAUUCCUUCGGAUCCCAGAAUCACUUUGGACCCCAGAAUUCCUUUGAAAUCCCAUCCUAAAAUUCCUUUGGAUCCCAAAAUCCCAUUGGAUCCCAAAAUCUGUUUGAAAUCCCAUUCCAAAAUUCCUUUGGAUCCCAAAAUCCCAUUGGAUCCCAAAAUCACCUUGGAUCCCAAGAUCUCUUUGAAAUCUCAUCCCAAAAUUCCGUCGGAUCCCAAAAUUCCUUUGGAUGCCACCUCAAAAUUCCUUUGGAUCCCAAAAUCCCAUUGGGAUCCCAAGAUCUCUUUGAAAUCUCAUCCCAAAAUUCCUUCGGAUCCCAAAAUUCAUUUGAAAUCUCAUCCCAAAAUUCCUUCACAUCCUGAAAUCCCUUUGGAUCCCAAAAUUCCUUCGGAUCCCAAAAUUCCUUUGGAUCCCAAAAUCUGUUUGAAAUCCCAUCCCAAAAUUCCUUUAAAAUCCCAAAAUUCCUUCAGAUCCCAAAAUCUUUUUGAAAUCUCAUCCCAAAAUUCUGUCAGAUCCCAAAAUUCUUUUGGUUCCCAGAAUCUCUUUGAAAUCUCAUCCCAAAAUUCCUUCAGAUCCCAAAUUUUUUUUGAAAUCCUAUCCCGAAGUUCCUUCGGAUCCCAAAAUCUCUUUGAAAUCCCAAAUUCUCUUUGGAUCCCAUUCCAAAAUUCCUUCGUAGCCCAAAAUUCCUUCGGAUCCCAAAAUCACUUUGGACCCCAGAAUUCCUUUGAAAUCCCAUCCUAAAAUUCCUUCGGAUCCCAAAAUUCUUUCAGAUCCCAAAAUUCAUUUGAAUCCCAAAAUCUGUUUGAAAUCCCAUCCCAAAAUUCCUUUGAAAUCCCAAAAUUUCUUCGGAUCCCAAGAUCUCUUUGAAAUCUCAUCCCAAAAUUCCUUUGGAAUCCCAAAAUUCCUCAUCCCAAAAUUCCUUUGGAUCCCAAAAUCUCUUUGAAAUCCCAUUUUUCCUCAU